This 409-nucleotide long non-coding RNA is filed under the name Capsicum annuum. Its description in RNAcentral is "long non-coding RNA (CANN_LNC016727)". Lineage: Eukaryota; Viridiplantae; Streptophyta; Magnoliopsida; Solanales; Solanaceae. The record is from RNAcentral.
UUCCUUCGUCUAUAUCGGUGUGUUGACAUAUUGGUUGCUGCCUGACAUAGCUAACAGGAAAGUCAGUUUUUUGUGAUGGCUUUUGUUAUGUAUUAAUGAAGUUAUUCGACUAUCCGAGUUGGGAAGGCUGUUUAUGUCACACCUUUUUGGGGGUGCGGUCCUUUUCCAGACCCUAUGUGAACGUGAGAGUGAUCAGCACGUGUGUGGUUGCCUAGAAAGAGCUUUCACUAUCUCCGAGAAGGGAAGGCUGUUUACGUCAGACCUUUUUGGGGGUGUGGUCCUUUUCCAGACCCUACAUGAACGUGAGAUAAUUUGUGCGUCGAGCUGCACUUUUUCAUACUUCAAGAUGGGACAUGGAUCUUGAAAUGCCUUCCAUCAUAUAAAUCAUUUUGUUCCUUAAUUUAUGACC